ACGGAAGGCAGCAGUGAGGAAUAUUGGUCAAUGGGCGGAAGCCUGAACCAGCCAUGCCGCGUGAAGGAAUAAGGCCCUAUGGGUCGUAAACUUCUUUUGACGGGGAGCAAUAAGGACUACGUGUAGUCCGAUGAGAGUACUCGUCGAAUAAGCAUCGGCUAACUCCGUGCCAGCAGCCGCGGUAAUACGGAGGAUGCAAGCGUUAUCCGGAUUUAUUGGGUUUAAAGGGUGCGUAGGCGGACCAGUAAGUCAGAGGUGAAAGCCCGGAGCUCAACUCCGGAACUGCCUUUGAUACUGUUGGUCUUGAAUUCGGAUGCCGUGGGAGGAAUGAGUAGUGUAGCGGUGAAAUGCAUAGAUAUUACUCAGAACACCGAUUGCGAAGGCAUCUCACGAAUCCGACAUUGACGCUGAGGCACGAAAGCGUGGGGAUCAAACAGGAUUAGAUACCCUGGUA
Molecule: ribosomal RNA, 454 nt
Filed under: uncultured bacterium
Lineage: Bacteria
Description: partial 16S ribosomal RNA
Rfam family: Bacterial small subunit ribosomal RNA
Source: RNAcentral